RNAcentral lists this long non-coding RNA (560 nucleotides) under Androctonus crassicauda. Lineage: Eukaryota; Metazoa; Arthropoda; Arachnida; Scorpiones; Buthidae. The record is from RNAcentral.
GCCCGGCCUACCUUCACUCGGAAGGUUUCUUUUUUGGUCAACAGAUGACGCCACUUUCACUCACUAAGAGCGCUAAGAGGCGGGUCCAAAUCAGUUCUUCCACGAGUUCCACCGGCUGUCCACCCGGGCUGGAGUCGGGUGGAGGAGUGGGAUGGACGGACCGGGUCCGAUCUGACCAUAAAUAUUUUCCAGGUACCCGGACGAUUUAUGGUCCGGGGUUCGUCCAACUAACUAUCGGUAUACCUAGGUGUCGGAUCCCACCCGGACACGGUGACCUUGGGCAGAAAGAAACAGCCGGUAGGUAAUGGAGUGAGGAACGGAGUAUUUAAAGUUUUUUUUAUGUUUGAGCCGUAAUAUUUUAAAAAUAAGUGGAUAGGUCUUUAAAAGGUAUUCUGGUGACCGGGUUAACCCGUAAUGCGGAUAGGUCCCGGGUGGCCUAGCCGCAUUCUUUCUAUUCCGUCCGGAUAAAAAUCCGAUUAAAUAAACGAUGCUCCUGGGGAUGGGAGGUUAAAUAAUAAUAAUAAUAAUAAUAAUAAUAAUAAUAAUAAUAAUAAUAAUAA